This 753-nucleotide long non-coding RNA is filed under the name Olea europaea subsp. europaea. The record is from RNAcentral. Lineage: Eukaryota; Viridiplantae; Streptophyta; Magnoliopsida; Lamiales; Oleaceae.
CUUAAUUUUAUUGCUCUAGGAAUCUAAGAAGAAACACUUAAAUUUUCUCUCUUGGCUUUCUAUUUUGUAGGAUUUAUUUCUUGGUAGCACGGAUACGGUUCCAGCUACUGUUGAAUGGGCAAUGGCUGAAUUACUCUGGAACCCCAAGAAGAUGACCAAAGCUAAAAGUGAGCUUAUUGAUUUGAUUGGAGAGCAUGAUGUGAUUCAAGAAUAAGAUAUUUCAAUACUCCCUUACUUAUAGGCCUUAGUGAAAGAAAUACAUAGGCUUCACCUCGUCAGACCCUUUUUAGUACCUCAUAAAGCUGUGGUCGAUGUAGAAAUCAAUGGUUACGUAGUCCCCAAAAAUGCUCAAAUACUAGUUAACAUAUGGGCAAGCAGUAGAGAUUCAAACAUUUGGUCCAUUCUAGAUUUGCUUAUGCCAGAAAGAUUUUUAGAUCUCAAAAUUGAUUUCAAUGGCCAAGAUUUCAAGUUCAUUCCCUUGGUACAGGUAGGAGACUAUGCCCGGAAUUGCCUUUGGCGCACCGGGUAGUUCAUGUCAUGUUGGCAAUUUUGAUACGCAACUUUGAUUGGAGACUUGAAGAGGGACUAAAACCAGAAGACAUUGACAUGAGAAAUAUACAACUACUCUACACAAGGCCACACCUCUCAAGGCUUUUCCAAUCAAAUUGUGAUCUCUAUCUUUGUUUUAUAAGCUGAAGAGUGAUUUUACAUGUUUUAUACUGGUGAAUAAAAGACGUAUGUUUUAUAAGCGGA